This 229-nucleotide ribosomal RNA is filed under the name uncultured bacterium. RNAcentral describes it as "partial 16S ribosomal RNA". It matches the Rfam family "Bacterial small subunit ribosomal RNA", at positions 568 to 796 of the family's 1533-position model. The record is from RNAcentral.
UACGUAGGCGGAAAAUUAAGUCAGUAGUGAAAUCCUGCAGCUUAACUGUAGAACUGUUAUUGAUACUGGUUUUCUUGAAUAUAGUUGAGGUAGGCGGAAUGUGUAAUGUAGCGGUGAAAUGCUUAGAUAUUACACAGAACACCGAUUGCGAAGGCAGCUUACUAAGCUAUGAUUGACGCUGAGGUACGAAAGCGUGGGUAGCAAACAGGAUUAGAUACCCUGGUAGUCC